GAAUUCGAUUCAGGCCUAACACAUGCAAGUCGAACGGCAGCACGGGUGCUUGCACCUGGUGGCGAGUGGCGAACGGGUGAGUAAUAUAUCGGAACGUACCUUAUUGUGGGGGAUAACGCAGCGAAAGCUGUGCUAAUACCGCAUAAUCCCUAAGGGGGAAAGCGGGGGACCGUAAGGCCUCGCGCAAUUAGAGCGGCCGAUACCUGAUUAGCUAGUUGGUGAGGUAAAGGCUCACCAAGGCAACGAUCAGUAGCUGGUCUGAGAGGACGAUCAGCCACACUGGGACUGAGACACGGCCCAGACUCCUACGGGAGGCAGCAGUGGGGAAUUUUGGACAAUGGGGGCAACCCUGAUCCAGCAAGGCCGCGUGAGUGAAGAAGGCCUUCGGGUUGUAAAGCUAUGUUGUCAGGGAAGAAACAGCAGCUCUAACACAGUUUGCGAAUGAC
RNAcentral lists this ribosomal RNA (446 nucleotides) under uncultured bacterium. RNAcentral describes it as "bacterial SSU rRNA". It matches the Rfam family "Bacterial small subunit ribosomal RNA", at positions 39 to 473 of the family's 1533-position model. The record is from RNAcentral.